This is a long non-coding RNA of Pseudopipra pipra, 745 nucleotides long. RefSeq lists it as uncharacterized. The record is from RefSeq and is a predicted model, not a curated record. The transcript has 2 exons. NCBI's taxonomy places the organism in Eukaryota, Metazoa, Chordata, Aves, Passeriformes, Pipridae.
UUUGGAACUAACUGAAACAUCUAAGGGCUUCUGGCAUGGAAGGACCACAAGGCAAUGGAAAGCCAGGCCCUGCUCCAGGUGCUGAGAGGGGUGUUGCAAAUAACUAACUCUCAUAACUGCAGCAGGUCUAAGUGCGUGAGGAUUCUGAAAUGCAGAUUAAAAAAAUACAGAUAAAGUUUGAAGGUAUUUCACUUAAACUCUCAUUCUUGACCAGGACUAUCACUCCAUCUUCAAUGAACACUAGCUUUGUUGUACAAGGGACAGAGAGAGAAAUGUCUGUGUACCUGUCUCAACAGGUUCAAGAAUUAAACCUCGACAGAAAGGCAUGACUGAGAGACCAAGAGGGAGGUAAUUAUGUUUUUGAAGUAUGGUCUCUCACAUAGUGAACAUUAAUAAAAGAAUGACCAGUACUUCCUGGCGUGGAUGUGACUUGCUCAUUUAAUUUUUAUUUAGGUGGUGUCCAUUUGGGUACUCAAGCCUCAAUACAGAAAAGCCCCUAAGCUUCUACUUAAAGUCACAUCCAGUUGGGAAAACAUGACAGCAUGUGACAAAUCCAGGACAGGUGAAAUGGAUGGAGGACCUUCAUCUUGCAAAAAAAUUACCAUGAACUUUGCAUCUGGAACCUGCCUCCCUCCUCUGCUUCCUCACAGAUUCCAGUGGACAGAGGUCUAUUUUUUCAUUUAUUCGUUUUAUUAUCCCAUGUCAGAUUUAUUCAAUAAACUUCACCCACAUCAUUCCAGCAUAA